This is a long non-coding RNA of Oncorhynchus keta (chum salmon), 4252 nucleotides long. RefSeq lists it as uncharacterized. The record is from RefSeq and is a predicted model, not a curated record. NCBI's taxonomy places the organism in Eukaryota, Metazoa, Chordata, Actinopteri, Salmoniformes, Salmonidae. The transcript is spliced from 5 exons.
AUCAGAACAGCAGUUUUCAGCUGUGCGAACAAUUGCAGAAAGGUUAUAAUGAUCAAUUAGCCUUUUAAAAUUAUAAACUUGAAUUAGCUAACACAAUGUGCCAUUGAUGAUUGCUGAUAAUGGGCCUAUGUAGAUAUUCCAUAAAAAUAGCUUGAAUUUUUAUUUAAAAUGUGCCGUUUCCAGCUACGAUAGUCAUUUACAACAUUGACAAUGUCUACAGUGUAUUUCUGAUCAAGUUGAUGUUAUUUUAAUGGACAAAAAAAAUGCGAAUUUCUUUAAAAAAACAAGGACAUUUCUAAGCUUCUGAACGGAUCACUUUCGCUACAACAGAACAGAAACGUCAGGCUACGGGUCCUAUUGGAGGGCCCCUGAUAUCCGUAAGCUAACAUUGCCUUUUGGAAUCCCUGCUACUGUGGCUGAGCUUGGCACAAUUCUGCAAGACAUUUCAGCUUCAAAAAUAAUUUGUUCUACAAUACAUGGAGAGUGCAUAUGGAGAUCAGUUAUUUUCUUUGCUUGAUACUGAAGACCUAAAGGAUAAAGACACCAUCAAAGUGGUUGACCUUGACGUCCCACCUCUUAUUACUUUAAAUGUACAAGAACUCAAUAACAUCUCCACAGAUACAUCAGAUGAGAGGUGCUGCCUUGGAUCACGUGAUACUGUGAUAUUGUCCUCUCCAGAAAGUACCUCUUCCCAACGCUCCAGUCCGUGGCCAUCUGAGUUUGAACUUCCUCGCUUUGCUUAUGAUACAGAGCUCAUUCUUGAGGCAGCUAAUGAAGCACACAUGAAGGAUGGAACACUACUCAACAAUCUGCCUGUGAAAUCAGACAUCCUGGAAAAACUGUCUGAAAGGAUCUUCCAGUUUACAGCCUAUCCGUCAAGUCUACAAAUUUGUCAGGUUGCAGAAGCUUUGGUAAAAAAGUACCCAUGUCUAAGAGCUUGGGUCCUUCUCAGGCGUAUACGGAUGGCAAACCAGCCUAAAGUACAAGAUGGGCAAUUACAGAUCGAAACUGAGAGGAAUUGAUUGCCUAGAACUGGAAGUGAACUCUGUCAAGAGAAAAUCACCAGAGGACAACCCCGUUGCUAAGAACAUAAACAAAACAAAGAAGGCGGUGGUAAAUUACCUCCCACCCCACCCUGCUGGAGAAACAGAUGAGACCCUGGAGAGGGAGCGAGUGGGGCUACUGGGAUAAGUAAAAAUAUGUGACAACCACAACAUUGUGAGUGCCAAAAUGGCAAAGACCUUCUCAUAUCGAAGACAAGAUGUCAUUCAGGCCCUUCCUGUAAAGGACUUCAGAGAUAGAUGGCCAGCCUUGUUUGAACCCAUUCAGAUUAAGGAAGACUUCAGAAGAAUUACAACUGUUGCUCUUGAGUCCACCUUUAUCCAGAAGCUGGACGAAUAUACACCAAAACUAUUGGACUUGUUUAAGACAAAAGGAGGUGCUGUAAAGGAGGACAUGCAAGUUCUGUAUGGGUGCAACACCAGCCAGGAAAGAAGAGACAGUCUAAUCCGUGGUCUGAUCAUAUACCUCGGUGAGAGGGUUGAAGAACUUAUCACAGAAUACAAGUCUGUUAUUUCUUAUUUUUUUCACUCCGGAUGCUGACGACACCAUGAUCCGAGAGAACCUUGUUCAGCAUGUGAUGAAGGUGUUCACUGUGAAGGAUCUGUACCAGAAUAUAGAGCAUGGGAUCUGCACCAGAAUAUAGAGCAUGGGAUCUGCAUCGAAGGAGCAGAGGUCCUGGCUGGUAUUCGCAGUGUUACACAGUCAUGUACCUUGCUUAUGGGCCUCAUCUAUGGCUUAAAUCUAAAGUGCCCCAAAGAACUGAAGUAUACCUUUGAGGUGUUCCAAAAACUAUUCUUGGAACUUGUGAUCUCAGGACCUCCCCACGCGUCCAAGCUCUAAAGAUGAAGUUACUUGUUUUCAGAGAUAUCUAAAGAUACCUAUGAGAACUCUCAAAGGGCCACUCACAAACUGUGGUCUAAACCCUACUCAGUAAGCUGAAAAGCUAGUUGCUAGGUGGUAUAGGAGCUACAGUUCACAUGAUGCUCUUUGUCAGGUGAAGUCAUAAAAGACAUUGUCAAUUCCUGUUUUAAAAAACAGCUUUGUUUUAAAACUGAGUCCAUAUGCACUAGUGGAUAUCCAUAUGGGCUUCACUAGUGCAUAUGGUGUCAGGUUUAAGGGAGAAUUUGGCAUCUAUUUUGUAACAAUAUGUGCAAUGUAUGUUUUGAAAACCCAUGUUUUGAUUAAUCUAAAACCGUUUGAAUGAGGUUGUAUUUGAGCUAAAGUUCAUAUUGUGCUUUGUGUAAAGUCUAUUAAGACAAAUCGUUAAUUUAUGUUUCUGUUAAAAUAUUUCUUUGUUGUUAAGGGGCACAUAGACCACCAGAAAUGUUUUGCCAAACUGUACAAGAUGUGAGGUCAAAGUGCUAAUCCCAAACUAUCACCUAAACUUUAUGCAGUUGUGAAGAUUUAAAAGUAUUUACAGUCAGGUGCAAGCUAUCUGGAUGUAACUUUACCUAAUGAGGCAAGGUGUAGUUAUACUCAGAAUGCUUACAGAUGACAAAAUAUGAUUGCCUAAAGAGUAGGGUUUAAGGGACAAUUUGAGAUUGAAGUUUGAAGAAAUUAUAAAAUGAUAACAUUUAUUUUAUUCAAAAUAAAGGUGUGGAAGUUUGAAGUUGAACACUGUUGUUUUCUUUUACAUAUUCCCUUAUAUAGAAAUAAUAUGUUUGUCAAUUAUCCUAAGUAUAUUGAGGUAACUAUUUGCAUCAGCUUUUUAAGUAUAGUUGUGAGUAUAUAUUUGAGUAGUAGGAACCCAAUUUAAAUACAUUUUACUAACCUGAGUACCAUAAGUAACUGAGCAAAAUACAUUUGUUGAUAAAACAUAGAAUAUCAAUUACGAUACUGAGUAAAUUCAGGAAAUUAAACCUACAAUAUUAGUUAUGUAACUGAUUACAUUAAGUAUAUUAGACUUAUAACAUUAGUUCUGGAACUUGAAGGAUUUAAGCAGGUCAACAACAACAAAAAUGUUCUGAACCUGAUAAAAUUAAGUUGAAUGAAAGGAAUUUGAGAUCCAGUUAGUAGAUUGCACUUCAUAUAUUUGAGUUUGUAAUACACAUAAAGCGAAGUGUAUUAUACUUAAAAUAUCCUCCUUGUUGGAUUUACUUAAAAAGCUGAUGCAAAUAGUUACCAAAAAUGUUGUAAGUAAAAGGGGCAUUAUUUUUUACAGUGAAUGUUUGUAUCAUGUUUUUGUGCUGCUACCAUAUUGUGUUGCUACCAUGUUGUCAUGUUGUGUUGCUACCAUGCUGUGUUGUGUUGCUGCCUUGUUAUGUUGUUGUCUUAGGUGUCUCUCUUGUUGUGAUGUGUUUUUUGUCCUAUAUCUAUAUUGCAUUCAUUUUUUUAAAUCCCAGGCCCCGUCCCUGCAGUAGGCCUUUUGGUUUGCCGUCAUUGUAAAUAAGACUUUGUUCUUGACUGACUUGCCUAGUUAAAUAAAUAAAAUCCUCAGUUGCUGAGAAACCUUACGAUGGCAAAAAACAAAUUUAUACAUUUUGCUUUCAAUUGCUUGGUUUUGAUUUCAACAUCCAUUAUUUCACUGUCUUUGAAAAUAUCCUGUUUACAUUUUUAACUUUACUUUUCUUGUUUACAAUUUAUUUUAUUUGAAAUUCAAUACAUAUUGUGUGAAAUUGGCCCCAUUACUCCCAUACUAUAUACCUGUUUUCAAAACAUUCAGUACUCUCCUAACAUUCACUUGACAUACUGGCAAUCAAGCUUCUUUCCAGGACCGCUGAAAGAUGCUCUCUUCCCUUCUUCUCUCGACUCUUUUCCCACCUGGCCAAAGUUUUUUCCCUAGCAGCAGCAUUUAAAAAAAUUUUAUACAUACAAAAUUAUCAACGACUUACAAUUUUCAUAUAACUAGGCAAGUCAGUAAAGAACAAAUUCUUAUUUACAAUGACAGCCUACCAUUCUGCCCCUGCCUUGUUCAGAGGAAGAACAACAGAUUUUUUACUUGUCAACUCGGGGAUUCAAUCCAGCAAACUUUCAGUUACUGGCCCAACGUUCAAACCACUAGGCUACCUGCCGCCCCUACAUUGCUACAUCAAACAUGUAUAACAAAACAAAACACAGGUAUAAAACAAGAAAAUACUACAUACAAAAAAUCUAUAUAAAUAAUAAUACAAAUUCUAGUGCAAUUGUAUUCACUCUGAAAUAACGUCUUAACAAGAUGAUUAAAAUCAAUCCAAAAUAUUUGUAAUUUGGG